GGGCUCUUGGCUCAGUAGUAGAGCACCCGCUUUGCAAGCGGGGGGUCGCGGGUGCGAAUCCCGCAGAGUCCAC
Molecule: transfer RNA, 73 nt
Filed under: Candidatus Micrarchaeum sp.
Lineage: Archaea; Nanobdellati; Microcaldota; Candidatus Micrarchaeia; Candidatus Micrarchaeales; Candidatus Micrarchaeaceae
Description: tRNA-Ala
Rfam family: tRNA
About the family: Transfer RNA (tRNA) molecules are approximately 80 nucleotides in length. Their secondary structure includes four short double-helical elements and three loops (D, anti-codon, and T loops).
Source: RNAcentral